GAUUGGUGCCUUCGGGAACUCAACCAGGUGCUGCAUGGCUGUCGUCAGCUCGUGUCGUGAGAUGUUGGGUUAAGUCCCGUAACGAGCGCAACCCUUGUCCUUAGUUACCAGCACCUCGGGUGGGCACUCUAAGGAAACUGCCGGUGACAAACCGGAAGAAGGUGGGGAUGACGUCCAGUCAUCAUGGCCCUUACGGCCAGGGCUACACACGUGCUACAAUGGUCGGUACAAAAGGUUGCCAAGCCGCGAGGUGGAACUAAUCCCAUAAAACCGAUCGUAAUCCGGA
RNAcentral lists this ribosomal RNA (286 nucleotides) under Pseudomonas sp. MGL30. RNAcentral's name for it is "partial 16S ribosomal RNA". It matches the Rfam family "Bacterial small subunit ribosomal RNA", at positions 1009 to 1297 of the family's 1533-position model. Lineage: Bacteria; Pseudomonadati; Pseudomonadota; Gammaproteobacteria; Pseudomonadales; Pseudomonadaceae. The record is from RNAcentral.